GGCUUAGAGUUUGAUCUUGGCUCAGAUUGAACGCUGGCGGCAUGCCUAACACAUGCAAGUCGAACGGCAGCACAGGUAGCAAUACCGGGUGGCGAGUGGCGGACGGGUGAGUAACGCAUCGGGAUCUACCCUGACGUGGGGGAUAACCUCGGGAAACCGGGACUAAUACCGCAUACGUCCUACGGGAGAAAGCGGGGGACCUUCGGGCCUCGCGCGGCAGGACGAACCGAUGUGCGAUUAGCUAGUUGGCGGGGUAAUGGCCCACCAAGGCGACGAUCGCUAGCUGGUCUGAGAGGAUGAUCAGCCACACUGGGACUGAGACACGGCCCAGACUCCUACGGGAGGCAGCAGUGGGGAAUAUUGGACAAUGGGUGCAAGCCUGAUCCAGCAAUGCCGCGUGUGUGAAGAAGGCCUUCGGGUUGUAAAGCACUUUUAUCAGGAGCGAAAUGCCAUGGGUUAAUACCUCGUGGAGCUGACGGUACCUGAGGAAUAAGCACCGCCUUGAAAAGGGUGCCAGCAGCCGCGGUAAUA
Molecule: ribosomal RNA, 531 nt
Filed under: uncultured soil bacterium
Lineage: Bacteria
Description: bacterial SSU rRNA
Rfam family: Bacterial small subunit ribosomal RNA
Source: RNAcentral